Molecule: small RNA, 749 nt
Filed under: Pongo abelii (Sumatran orangutan)
Lineage: Eukaryota; Metazoa; Chordata; Mammalia; Primates; Hominidae
Description: retained intron
Source: RNAcentral
CAGCAUAACCAUUAAUGCUUAAUUUUGCAAAGUUUUAAAUAAUUUGAUAGCAAAUUACUUAGAGAAUGGCCCAUAUUUAUAUAUGUAUUAAAUGUUAUUAAUAUUAUUACUCAUUGUUUUCCCCUCUCCACUUUUCUUUGUUUUGCAGAUCGUAAAAAGGACCUUGUAAAACUACAGGCAGGAGAGUAUGUUUCUCUUGGGAAAGUAGAGGCAGCUUUGAAGAAUCUUCCACUAGUAGAUAACAUUUGUGCAUAUGCAAACAGUUACCAUUCUUAUGUCAUUGGAUUUGUUGUGCCAAAUCAAAAGGAACUAACUGAACUAGCUCGAAAGAAAGGACUUAAAGGGACUUGGGAGGAGCUGUGUAACAGUUGUGAAAUGGAAAAUGAGGUACUUAAAGUGCUUUCCGAAGCUGCUAUUUCAGCAAGUCUGGAAAAGUUUGAAAUUCCAGUAAAAAUUCGUUUGAGUCCUGAACCGUGGACCCCUGAAACUGGUCUGGUGACAGAUGCCUUCAAGCUGAAACGCAAAGAGCUUAAAACACAUUACCAGGCGGACAUUGAGCGAAUGUAUGGAAGAAAAUAAUUAUUCUCUUCUGGCAUCAGUUUGCUACAGUGAGCUCAGAUCAAAUAGGAAAAUACUUGAAAUGCAUGUCUCAAGCUGCAAGGCAAACUCCAUUCCUCAUAUUAAACUAUUACUUCUGAUGACGUCACCAUUUUUAACUGACAGGAUUAGUAAAACAUUAAGACAGCAAA